GCAGUCGAGCGGUAGAGAGAAGCUUGCUUCUCUUGAGAGCGGCGGACGGGUGAGUAAUGCCUAGGAAUCUGCCUGGUAGUGGGGGAUAACGUUCGGAAACGGACGCUAAUACCGCAUACGUCCUACGGGAGAAAGCAGGGGACCUUCGGGCCUUGCGCUAUCAGAUGAGCCUAGGUCGGAUUAGCUAGUUGGUGAGGUAAUGGCUCACCAAGGCGACGAUCCGUAACUGGUCUGAGAGGAUGAUCAGUCACACUGGAACUGAGACACGGUCCAGACUCCUACGGGAGGCAGCAGUGGGGAAUAUUGGACAAUGGGCGAAAGCCUGAUCCAGCCAUGCCGCGUGUGUGAAGAAGGUCUUCGGAUUGUAAAGCACUUUAAGUUGGGAGGAAGGGCAGUUACCUAAUACGUGAUUGUUUUGACGUUACCGACAGAAUAAGCACCGGCUAACUCUGUGCCAGCAGCCGCGGUAAUACAGAGGGUGCAAGCGUUAAUCGGAAUUACUGGGCGUAAAGCGCGCGUA
RNAcentral lists this ribosomal RNA (520 nucleotides) under Pseudomonas sp. RNAcentral's name for it is "bacterial SSU rRNA". It matches the Rfam family "Bacterial small subunit ribosomal RNA", at positions 57 to 573 of the family's 1533-position model. The record is from RNAcentral. Lineage: Bacteria; Pseudomonadati; Pseudomonadota; Gammaproteobacteria; Pseudomonadales; Pseudomonadaceae.